CUACGGGAGGCAGCAGUGGGGAAUUUUGGACAAUGGACGCAAGUCUGAUCCAGCCAUUCCGCGUGCAGGACGAAGGCCUUCGGGUUGUAAACUGCUUUUGUACGGAACGAAAAAGCUCUUACUAAUACUAGGAGUCCAUGACGGUACCGUAAGAAUAAGCACCGGCUAACUACGUGCCAGCAGCCGCGGGUAAUACGUAGGGUGCAAGCGUUAAUCGGAAUUACUGGGCGUAAAGCGUGCGCAGACGGUUAUAUAAGACAGAUGUGAAAUCCCCGGGCUCAACCUGGGAACUGCAUUUGUGACUGUAUAGCUAGAGUACGGCAGAGGGGGAUGGAAUUCCGCGUGUAGCAGUGAAAUGCGUAGAUAUGCGGAGGAACACCGAUGGCGAAGGCAAUCCCCUGGGCCUGUACUGACGCUCAUGCACGAAAGCGUGGGGAGCAAACAGGAUUAGAUACCCGAGUAGUC
Molecule: ribosomal RNA, 465 nt
Filed under: uncultured bacterium
Lineage: Bacteria
Description: partial 16S ribosomal RNA
Rfam family: Bacterial small subunit ribosomal RNA
Source: RNAcentral